GAACUGCGAUAAGUAAUGUGAAUUGCAGAAUUCAGUGAAUCAUCGAGUCUUUGAACGCACAUUGCGCCCCCUGACAUUCCGGGGGGCAUGCCUGUCCGAGCGUCAUUGCUGCCCUCAAGCCCGGCUUGUGUGUUGGGUCGUCGUCCCCCCCGGGGGACGGGCCCGAAAGGCAGCGGCGGCACCGUGUCCGGUCCUCGAGCGUAUGGGGCUUUGUCACCCGCUCGAUUAGGGCCGGCCGGGCGCCAGCCGGCGUCUCCAACCUUAUUUUUCUCAGGUUGACCUCGGAUCAGGUAGGGAUACCCGCUGAACUUAAGC
Molecule: unclassified non-coding RNA, 315 nt
Filed under: plant metagenome
Description: partial contains 5.8S ribosomal RNA, internal transcribed spacer 2, and large subunit ribosomal RNA
Rfam family: 5.8S ribosomal RNA (bases 1-105)
Source: RNAcentral